Chionomys nivalis (European snow vole) is the source of this 719-nucleotide long non-coding RNA. RefSeq lists it as uncharacterized. The transcript is spliced from 3 exons. Lineage: Eukaryota; Metazoa; Chordata; Mammalia; Rodentia; Cricetidae. The record is from RefSeq and is a predicted model, not a curated record.
GCUGGUAAUAACUGUAACUUUGGGAAAGUCUUAACCAUUCUGAAUUUUAAUUUUUUUUUCACAGAAAGCCCAGAACCCAGGCAACUUGAUCCUAAUGGUACCCUGAAAAACUCAGAAGCACCAUCUGUCCUCUUGUGUCUGCUUGGAAUCCUAUUUUUGAGACAGGUGCAAAACCACAGAGGCAGAGAGGAAGAAAUGAGAGCGACAGAGAGGACCUCACCUGGGUGUUAAGAUCCAAGUGGAGAGAAGCAGAAAAUGCCCUGCUGGGACUCACACCGGUGCUCAGGGCAGACACCCAAAGAUCCUGUCAAGAUUUCCUCUAAGCCCUGUCUUGUCAUUCUUUCCCGUGCUGUCCUGCUCUCCACUGUAGUGAUACAUCAUUUGUAUUUUUAAUAAAUAAAUCUUUCCUGAAGAUCAGGGAGUAAAACAGCUCCACUGGUCAGCCAGUGUGGUGUGGUGACACACACCUUUAAUCCCAGUAGCCAAACUGCUUUGCCGCAGAAACUGGGCUAUAGUGGUGCAUACCUUUAAUCCCAGCCCUAGAGAAGAAUAUAAGACGGGAGGAGACAGCUCUCACACAUAGUCUCAAUCUGAGAUUCCUGGAGGCAGGUGGAGACAACCGGACAGCCCAGAGGCGGGAGUCUACACAGAGAUGAACGGGGAGCAAGGGCUGGCGCUCACACCUGUCCCUGGGAGAGGAUAUUUUCUAUGAAUUUGGA